Molecule: ribosomal RNA, 492 nt
Filed under: uncultured bacterium
Lineage: Bacteria
Description: partial 16S ribosomal RNA
Rfam family: Bacterial small subunit ribosomal RNA
Source: RNAcentral
AGUGAACGCUGGCGGUAGGCCUAACACAUGCAAGUCGAACGGCAGCACAGUAAGAGCUUGCUCUUACGGGUGGCGAGUGGCGGACGGGUGAGGAAUACAUCGGAAUCUACUUUUUCGUGGGGGAUAACGUAGGUAAACUUACGCUAAUACCGCAUACGACCUACGGGUGAAAGCAGUGGAUCUUCGGACCUUGCGCGAUUGAAUGAGCCGAUGUCGGAUUAGCUAGUUGGCGGGGUAAAUGCCCACCAAGGCGACGAUCCGGAGCUGGUCUGAGAGGAUGAUCAGCCACACUGGAACUGAGACAGCGUCCAGACUCCUACGGGAGGCAGCAGUGGGGAAUAUUGGACAAUAGGCGGAAGGCUGGUCCAGCCAUACCGCGUGGGUGAAGAAAGCCUUCGGGUUGUAAAGCCCUUUUGUUGGGAAAGAAAAGCAGCAGGUUAAUACCACGCUGUUGUGACGGUACCCAAAGAAUAAGCACCGGCUAACUUCGUG